GACGAACGCUGGCGGCGUGCUUAACACAUGCAAGUCGAACGGAAAGGCCCUGCUUUUGUGGGGUGCUCGAGUGGCGAACGGGUGAGUAACACGUGUGUAACCUGCCCUUGACUUUGGGAUAACUUCAGGAAACUGGGGCUAAUACCGUAUAGGAGCUCCUGCUGCAUGGUGGGGGUUGGAAAGUUUCGGCGGUUGGGGAUGGACGCGCGGCUUAUCAGCUUGUUGGUGGGGUAGUGGCAUACCAAGGCUUUGACGGGUAGCCGGCCUGAGAGCGUGAACGGGCACCUUGGGACUGAGAUACGGACCAGAGUCCUACAGGAGGCAGCAGUCGCGAAUCUUGCCCAAUGGGAGGAAGCCUGAUGCAGAAACGCCGCGUGCGGGAUGACGGCCUUCGGGUUGUAAACCGCUUUCGCCUGUGACGAAGCGUGAGUGACGGUAAUGGGUAAAGAAGCACCGGCUAACUACGUG
RNAcentral lists this ribosomal RNA (468 nucleotides) under uncultured bacterium. Its description in RNAcentral is "partial 16S ribosomal RNA". It matches the Rfam family "Bacterial small subunit ribosomal RNA", at positions 28 to 507 of the family's 1533-position model. The record is from RNAcentral.